This 253-nucleotide ribosomal RNA is filed under the name uncultured bacterium. RNAcentral describes it as "partial 16S ribosomal RNA". It matches the Rfam family "Bacterial small subunit ribosomal RNA", at positions 524 to 776 of the family's 1533-position model. The record is from RNAcentral.
UACGAGGGGGGCAAGCGUUGUUCGGAAUUAUUGGGCGUAAAGCGUGCGCAGGCGGUUCGUUAAGACAGAUGUGAAAUCCCCGGGCUUAACCUGGGAACUGCAUUUGUGACUGGCGAGCUAGAGUAUGGCAGAGGGGGGUAGAAUUCCACGUGUAGCAGUGAAAUGCGUAGAGAUGUGGAGGAAUACCGAUGGCGAAGGCAGCCCCCUGGGAUAACACUGACGCUCAUGCACGAAAGCGUGGGGAGCAAACAGG